RNAcentral lists this ribosomal RNA (1102 nucleotides) under Mucilaginibacter gynuensis. Its description in RNAcentral is "bacterial SSU rRNA". It matches the Rfam family "Bacterial small subunit ribosomal RNA", at positions 340 to 1452 of the family's 1533-position model. The record is from RNAcentral. Lineage: Bacteria; Pseudomonadati; Bacteroidota; Sphingobacteriia; Sphingobacteriales; Sphingobacteriaceae.
UACGGGAGGCAGCAGUAAGGAAUAUUGGUCAAUGGAGGCAACUCUGAACCAGCCAUGCCGCGUGCAGGAAGACGGCCCUACGGGUUGUAAACUGCUUUUGUACCGGAAUAAACCUUUUCACGUGUGAGAAGCUGAAUGUACGGUAAGAAUAAGGAUCGGCUAACUCCGUGCCAGCAGCCGCGGUAAUACGGAGGAUCCAAGCGUUAUCCGGAUUUAUUGGGUUUAAAGGGUGCGUAGGCGGCUUAUUAAGUCAGGGGUGAAAGGCGGUAGCUUAACUAUCGGAGUGCCUUUGAUACUGAUGAGCUUGAAUGCAGCUGAGGUAGGCGGAAUGUGACAAGUAGCGGUGAAAUGCAUAGAUAUGUCACAGAACACCGAUUGCGAAGGCAGCUUACUAAAGUGCGAUUGACGCUGAGGCACGAAAGCGUGGGGAUCAAACAGGAUUAGAUACCCUGGUAGUCCACGCCCUAAACGAUGAAUACUCGAUGUUGGCGAUAUACGGUCAGCGUCUAAGCGAAAGCGUUAAGUAUUCCACCUGGGGAGUACGCCCGCAAGGGUGAAACUCAAAGGAAUUGACGGGGGCCCGCACAAGCGGAGGAGCAUGUGGUUUAAUUCGAUGAUACGCGAGGAACCUUACCCGGGCUUGAAAGUUAGUGAAUGAUACAGAGACGUAUCAGUCCUUCGGGACACGAAACUAGGUGCUGCAUGGCUGUCGUCAGCUCGUGCCGUGAGGUGUUGGGUUAAGUCCCGCAACGAGCGCAACCCCUGUGUUUAGUUGCCAGCACGUAAUGGUGGGGACUCUAAACAGACUGCCUAUGCAAAUAGAGAGGAAGGAGGGGACGACGUCAAGUCAUCAUGGCCCUUACGUCCGGGGCUACACACGUGCUACAAUGGACAGUACAGAGGGCCGCUACCUGGCAACAGGAUGCCAAUCUCAAAAAGCUGUUCACAGUUCGGAUCGGGGUCUGCAACUCGACCCCGUGAAGUUGGAUUCGCUAGUAAUCGCGUAUCAGCAAUGACGCGGUGAAUACGUUCCCGGGCCUUGUACACACCGCCCGUCAAGCCAUGGAAGCUGGAAGUGCCUGAAGUGCGUAACCGCAAGGAG